This 75-nucleotide transfer RNA is filed under the name Metabacillus fastidiosus. Its description in RNAcentral is "tRNA-Gln". It matches the Rfam family "tRNA". Rfam says of the family: Transfer RNA (tRNA) molecules are approximately 80 nucleotides in length. RNAcentral also lists the same sequence under 27 other names. The record is from RNAcentral. Lineage: Bacteria; Bacillati; Bacillota; Bacilli; Caryophanales; Bacillaceae.
UGGGCUAUAGCCAAGUGGUAAGGCAACGGACUUUGACUCCGUCAUUCGUUGGUUCGAAUCCAGCUAGCCCAGCCA